This 474-nucleotide ribosomal RNA is filed under the name uncultured bacterium. RNAcentral describes it as "partial 16S ribosomal RNA". The stretch from base 18 to 338 matches the Rfam family "Bacterial small subunit ribosomal RNA", at positions 45 to 394 of the family's 1533-position model. The record is from RNAcentral.
AACGAACGCUGGCGGCGUGCCUAACACAUGCAAGUCGAACGAGACCUUCGGGUCUAGUGGCGCACGGGUGCGUAACGCGUGGGAACCUGCCCUUAGGUUCGGAAUAACUCCCCGAAAGGGGUGCUAAUACCGGAUAAUGUCUUCGGACCAAAGAUUUAUCGCCUUUGGAUGGGCCCGCGUUGGAUUAGCUAGUUGGUAGGGUAAAAGCCUACCAAGGCGACGAUCCAUAGCUGGUCUGAGAGGAUGAUCAGCCACACUGGGACUGAGACACGGCCCAGACACGUGGGGGGGGAAGCGUGGGGGAAGAGUGAACAGGGGGCGCAAGCGAGAUGCAGUGAGGGGGGGGGAGUGAGAAGGGCAUGAGGUCUUUAAGGUUCUUUGGCAGGGGAAGAUAAGGACAGGGGGGGAAGAAAAAGCGGCGGACAACGCCGUGCAGGCGGCGGGGGUUAGAAGGGGAAGAGCAAACGUGUGAUG